AUGGAAAAUGCGUGGAUUGGAGGCAUUAAAUACCCAGGUUUCGCAGCUCUGAAAUCAUUCUGAGAAUGGCAUCCAUCUCUCUUUCUCCUUCCGCUCUGGGCUUUUCAGGCCUCAACAAGGCAAGCAAUCAGCUUAAGCUUUUUGCUAAGCCAAGCAGAAGAAGGUUGGAUUUACUUCCUUGCAAAGCUUCAUCCACUCCUCAAACGACUGCUCGACGCACAGCUAAUCAUCACCCCAACUUGUGGGAUGAUAAUUUCAUACAAUCCCUUCCAAAGGCUUACGAGGCUCCUUGUUAUGCAGAAGAAGCAGAGACAUUUAUCAGAGAAGUGAAGGAGAUGUUCAAUGGAAUGCCAACACAAAACUCUUCUGUCCACGAACGUCUUUCAAUGGUGGACAAAGUUGAACGCCUUGGAAUCGAUCGGCAUUUCCAAAAGGAAAUAAAGGAGGCUCUUGAUUGUGUUUACAGGUAUUGGAACGACAAAGGAAUUGGAAAUGGUGAAAGCGGUAGUUGCGCAGAUCUGAACACAACAGUCUUGGCACUUCGAAUUCUUCGCCUACACAGAUACGACGUCUCUUCAGGUGUGUUGGAAAAUUUCAAAGAAAAAGAUGGGAACUUCUUGAACUCAUAUAGUCAAUCAAAUGAGGAGAUAAACACGAUACUAAAUUUAUAUCGGGUUUCACUCAUUGCAUUUCCUGAGGAGAAAAUCAUGGAGGAGGCUAAAGUGUUUGCAACCAAAUAUUUAAAAGAAGUUAUGUCACAAACUAAGGAUUCCAAUAUUUCAAAAGAGAUACAAUUCAAUUUGGAAUAUGGCUGGCACACCAAUAUGCCUAGAUUUGAAACAAGGAAUUAUAUUGAUAUAUAUGGAGGAAACACUUCAUGGAUGGCAUGUAAGAGUAACAAGAAGAUUUUAUAUUUGGCAAAGCUAGACUUCAAUAUGGUGCAAUCUCUGCAACAACAAGAACUUCAAUUACUCUCAAGGUGGUGGACGGAGUCAGGUGUGCCUCAACUAGAUUUUGCUCGCAAUCGUUAUGUGGAAUAUUAUUUUUGGGCCGCAGGAGGGUGUGUAGAGCCAAAGUAUUAUGCUUAUAGAAUUGGUUGUGCAAAAAUUGCUUCUAUUGCAACAGUUCUAGAUGAUAUAUAUGAUACUUAUGGGACACUCGAUGAGCUAAAACUCUUCACAAAUGCAGUUAAAAGAUGGGAUCCCUCUUCUAUCGACUAUCUUCCUGAAUAUAUGAAAGUUGUGUUCAUGGCAUUUUAUGAAAUUGUAAAUGAAAUGGUAGAAGAGGCAACCAAAACCCAAGGCCGAGACACACUUGACUAUGCUAGAAAAGUUUGGGAGGCUUUCUUGGAUUCUUAUAUGCAAGAAGCAGAGUGGCUUGCUACUAGUUAUAUACCAACCUUUGAGGAGUAUUUAGAGAAUGCAAAAAUUAGUGGUGGUGCUCGAAUAGUUAUUCUGCAACCUCUCUUAACAUUAGAUGCAGUUCUUCCUGACACCCUUCUUCCGAAAAUUGAUUUUCCUUCAAGGUUCAAUGAGCUUUUAGCAUUGACCUUUCGAUUAAGCAAUGAUAUCAAUAGUUUCAAGGCUGAAGUUGCUAGGGGUGAAAAAGCAUCUUGUGUAGCAUGUUAUAUGAGAGAUAGAUCAACUGAAGAAGAAGAAGCUUUGGAUCAUCUUAAGUCUUUGAAUGAAAAAUUAUUCAAAGAAUUAAGUUUCGAAUAUUUAAAACUAGAUAGUGUACCAAUGUGCAGUAAAGAUCAUGCAAUAUCUUUAUCACAAGGCUAUCAUUUCUUUUAUAGAGAGAGAGAUGGAUUCACUAUUUCCACCAAAGAUACAAGAAACUAUAUUUUGAAAAUCCUAGUUCAACCUAUGACAAUGGAGAAGGCGAGGAUUCAGCCAACGAAACAAUCUAUUUCUUUCAUUGUCGAAUGGAGUGGAAAAUCAUUUGUGAGCAAUAAAGAGAUAGUUAUAGAUAAACAGAAAUCUAAUAGCUUUAUUUAAAUGAAUUACCCUGAUUUUAGUGUUAGCGAACCAUUACCACUCUGUGGUCAGACCUUCAAAUCUUUAGAGCAACCAUACCUCAAACCCAACUCUGAUAAUAUCGAUAAUGUCGAAUUAGCCCCUUAUCAAAACAGCUUACUUAAAGAUUUGUGAUUUUGAUAUUUAUUAUGUUGAAUUUUCUGUCAAUUUUACCCAUGACUUCCAUUUGGCAUCGUCUAUUUAGGGUAUAGCCAAAUCCACUCAAAUCUAUCGGCUCCCAUUCAUUGAGGGUUUGGUCAAAUUAUACUGGUUGAUCCCCAUGGGAUUGUAUUCUUUGACAUAAGAUAUUUAUUCUGUAACUUUCACGAUCAAGUCCUCCUGACCUUAUCUUUGAGGAUGUGGUCAAAUCCAUGGCGCCUAACCUAUUCAGGGCGCAGUCGGGCUGCUCUCAAAUACAGUUGCCCUCUUUUGUUUAGGAUGCUUUCAAAUCCAGUUGAUCUCAUCUGUUAAGGGUUUUUUUUAAAUCCAGUUGGCCUCAUCCAGUAAGAGUGUAGACAAAUAUGAUUCUAUAUGACCUUAUGAUACGAUCUAUGUUGAGUUGGAUACAUGACCUAGGAUAUUUAUUUUAUGAUACUCAACCUGAGAGCCUCCCCUGGUCAUAUCGAUUGAGGCUGUGGUCAAAUUUUUCUGGCCUCAUCUCUUGGACGCACAAUGGAAUUCAUCCCAGGAUCUGUCACCCAUGUAUUGAUGGCACUUGUAAACCACCUGGUUGAGGGGGGUCAUCCCCGUGUGAGUAGAUGUUAUGGUCUAGGAUAUUUCAUGUCAAAUUUAUGGUGUAAAUGCUCUUAUAAGAUUUACACCAAUUCUAAUCCAUUGAGGUCACACCCAAUACCUGCAGUGAGACCCUUUUGUUGAAUGUGGAAUUAAAUUUAUCAUCUAUUCACCUGCCCUCAUGCAUUGAGGUCUAGUCCAAUUCAUCUACUUGCGCAGAAUCUCAAUCAUUGAGGCUUCAUUCGAAUCCACCUGGCCCCUUCUGUUGAGGAUACAGUGGAAUUCACCCCAAGACAUUCACCUGAUACAAUCAGAUUCACCCUUGAUAUGCAACCUGCAUUCACAUGUUGAGGAAUACUAUCUGCACAAGCUAAGAAUUAUGUACAAGGAAUUAGUUUUCACAUGUUAUAAACCCAUUCAAGGAGUCAGAAACAGACGAUGUUGGAUCGGGUACAAAGGAUUAUGUACAUGUUCGCAUAGAGAAGCGAAACGGUAGAAAGAGCUUGACUACCAUUCAAGGACUUCGAAAGGAAUACAAUUACAACAAAAUUCUCAAAGAUUUCAAGAAAGAGUACUGUAGUACAGGAUCCAGAGCUGGGGUAGGUAUGACACAGUGCUUUCUCUGUCAUAGACUGGCACUCUGAAAUCUUUGUCCACUGCGUUCCUCAUUAGGAAACAUCUAUUUUGUAGGUUAUCCAGCUUCAAGGUUAUCAGAGGAUGAAUGCAUCUCACUUCCUUAUCAAUUUUUGUAGGCUGGUUUGGUGAAGAAGGAUAAAAUCAAGAUCCAUGGUUUUUAAGAGGCUCUUUUUAGUCAAUAAUAAGAAAGAUAUUCAUGUUCUGAUUUAUCACUA
This is an RNA transcript of Cryptomeria japonica (Japanese cedar), 3598 nucleotides long. It is a transcript of the gene named alpha pinene synthase, chloroplastic, with no coding region annotated. The transcript has 12 exons. NCBI's taxonomy places the organism in Eukaryota, Viridiplantae, Streptophyta, Pinopsida, Cupressales, Cupressaceae. The record is from RefSeq and is a predicted model, not a curated record.